RNAcentral lists this ribosomal RNA (435 nucleotides) under uncultured bacterium. Its description in RNAcentral is "bacterial SSU rRNA". It matches the Rfam family "Bacterial small subunit ribosomal RNA", at positions 9 to 456 of the family's 1533-position model. The record is from RNAcentral.
GGGUUUGAUUCUGGCUCAGGGUUAAUGCUAGCGGUGCGCCUAACACAUGCAAGUCGAGCGAGAAGCUUUUUAGCUUGCUAAAAAGUAGAAAGCGGCGAACGGGUGAGUAACAUGUUGAUAUCUGCCUUUAAGUCAGGGAUAGUCCAAGGAAACUUGGUUUAAUACCGGAUAGUCUCUUCGGAGUAAAGAUUUAUCGCUUAAAGAGGAGUCUACAUUCUAUCAGCUUGUUGGUGAGGUAAUAGCUCACCAAGGCUAUGACGGAUAACUGGUCUGAGAGGAUGAUCAGUCACAAUGGAACUGAGACACGGUCCAUACUUCUACGGGAGGCAGCAGUGAGGAAUCUUCCACAAUGGACGAAAGUCUGAUGGAGCGACACCGCGUGAAGGAUGAAGGUCUAACGAUUGUAAACUUCUUUUCUGAAGGAGCAUAAUGAGA